AAUUAUAAAUUAGGAAGUAUUAAAUAAUAAAACCACUAAAACUUGGCGGUUAUAAUUUUUUAAAGAAACUUGUUUUAUAAUCGAUAUUACUCGAUAAUUUUUACUUAAUUUUUAUAAUUUAUAUACCGCCGUUUAUAACAGAAACAAUAUAAACAAAACUUCAAAAUCAAUAAUUCACAAAAAUCAGGUCAAGGUGUAAUCUUUUUUUAAGAAAAAAUAAGUUACAUUUAAAUAAAAUUUAAGGAAUAUUUAAUAAAAAUUAAAAAGAAAAAGAAUUUACAAUUAAUUUUUAAUUAAAAAUUUAAACAGAAAAUAAUUAUUAUAAUGC
Molecule: ribosomal RNA, 328 nt
Filed under: Carapoia septentrionalis
Lineage: Eukaryota; Metazoa; Arthropoda; Arachnida; Araneae; Pholcidae
Description: partial 12S ribosomal RNA
Source: RNAcentral